This 1319-nucleotide long non-coding RNA is filed under the name Homo sapiens (human). RNAcentral's name for it is "HSALNT0367275". Lineage: Eukaryota; Metazoa; Chordata; Mammalia; Primates; Hominidae. The record is from RNAcentral.
GCUUAAGCCCAGGAAUUUGAGAUCAGCCUGGACAACAUGGUCAAGGAAGCUUUUCCUGAUCCACUAACUAAGGACAAUCAAACCCUUCAUGAUCUAGAAUCUGGAGACUGUGUCUUCUGGGAAUAGUAUCAGAGAAAGACUGCCCUUACUGCCCACAUGUAGCAAAACUUUGAGACGUUGAAUUAUGGGUCCAUAAUCUCACAACUCAGAGGGGCACCUCUAGACUCUUGGAACUGUAUAUCUAUUGGAGACUUUAAGGUAAAGCUGAACAGAGAGACGUUUUUCUCCAGAAGCAGACAGCACCAUAGUCAUGGACAGCUUUCCCAAGAUCACAGAUCAAGACUUCUCUGCCGUCAUGAGACUCAUAACCUCUUAAUUUUUUCUUGCUUAUGCUUCUGUGAACAAUAGAAUUGGAAAAGGGGUGGUCCCGCGUGCACCCAUAGGGUAUACUUUUAUUUGUGGAGGAUUUUGCUGCCAACCUUAUACAUGGGCAAACUUAUGCCUUCAUGGAUGGAAGAUAAAGGGCUAAUAUGGGUUAGAAAUUUUAAUGGUACCUUUGUUUCUCCAUAAUCAUUCAGAAACAGAACACUGGUCCACUCUUGUUAACCUACAUCAUAGGUUGAAGAGAACAUUGCCAGGAGGCCUUCAUCCUUCCAGAUGGGCACCAUUUGUUGGGUCUUUUUCCGUGGUAUGAAGAAAAUGAAGCAAUGAUUAGAAAUUGGUCCCUCGGCCGGGCACAAUGGCUCAUGCCUGUAAUCCCAUCACUUUGGCAGGCCGAGGCGGGUGGAUCACCUGAGGUCAGGAGUUUGAGACCAGCCUGACCAAUGUGGUGAAACGCCAUCUCUACUAAAAAUACAAAAAUUAGCUGGGUGUGAUGGUGCACACCUGUAAUCCAGCUACUCGGGAGGCUGAGACAGGAGAAUUGCUUGAACCUGGGAGGCAGAGGUUGCAGUGAGCCAAGAUCACCCCACUGCAUUCCAGGUUGGGCAACAGAGCAAGACUCUGUCUCAAAAAAAAAAGAAGAAAGAAAGAAAUUGAUCCCUCAUAAUAGGCUGUAUAGCAGAUUCUACUGCAAAGGCUAUGGUUGCACAACAGACUUCUUUGAAUUUGCUUGCUAAACUUUUACUGGAUAAUACUGGGAUUACAGGUGUGAGCCACUGUGCCCAGCCUCUCCUGUUUAACUGUAUUCAUUCUAAUGUUUACUUACUUCUUUAAUUUGUAAAAUUGGGUCACUUAGAGUUUUUUUAGCCUAUCUUGCCAUUUAGCCACUGUUACUGAUAAUUUGGAUGGAAAAGAAAAAUAAAUUAUAUCACCUCUCA